RNAcentral lists this ribosomal RNA (398 nucleotides) under uncultured bacterium. Its description in RNAcentral is "bacterial SSU rRNA". It matches the Rfam family "Bacterial small subunit ribosomal RNA", at positions 358 to 772 of the family's 1533-position model. The record is from RNAcentral.
GGAAUCUUCCACAAUGGGCGAAAGCCUGAUGGAGCGACGCCGCGUGGGGGAUGAAGGUUUUCGGAUCGUAAACCCCUUUUCUCAGGGAAGAGUAAGGACGGUACCUGAGGAAUAAGCAUCGGCUAACUAAGUGCCAGCAGCCGCGGUAAUACGGAGGAUGCUAGCGUUGUCCGGAAUCGCUGGGCGUAAAGGGUCCGUAGGCGGUCUGUUAAGUCUCCUGUGAAAGUUCAGGGCUCAACUCUGAAAGGUCGGGGGAUACUGGCAGACUUGAGACUGUCAGAGGCAGGUGGAAUUCCCGGUGUAGUGGUGAAAUGCGUAGAUAUCGGGAGGAACACCAGUGGCGAAAGCGGCCUGCUGGGACAGUUCUGACGCUGAGGGACGAAAGCGUGGGUAGCAAA